GUUGCACUGCAGCUGCUCUUGG
RNAcentral lists this microRNA (22 nucleotides) under Gallus gallus (chicken). RNAcentral's name for it is "gga-miR-3532-5p". The record is from miRBase by way of RNAcentral. Lineage: Eukaryota; Metazoa; Chordata; Aves; Galliformes; Phasianidae.